CUACGGGACGCAGCAGUGGGGAAUAUUGCACAAUGGGCGCAAGCCUGAUGCAGCCAUGCCGCGUGUAUGAAGAAGGCCUUCGGGUUGUAAAGUACUUUCAGCGGGGAGGAAGGGAGUAAAGUUAAUACCUUUGCUCAUUGACGUUACCCGCAGAAGAAGCACCGGCUAACUCCGUGCCAGCAGCCGCGGUAAUACGGAGGGUGCAAGCGUUAAUCGGAAUUACUGGGCGUAAAGCGCAUGCAGGCGGUUUGUUAAGUCAGAUGUGAAAUCCCCGGGCUCAACCUGGGAACUGCAUCUGAUACUGGUGAGAUUGAGUCUCGUAGAGGGGGGUAGAAUUACAGGUGUAGCGGUGAAAUGCGUAGAGAUCAGGAGGAAUACCGAUGGCGAAGGCGGCCCUCUGGACGAAGACUGACGCUCAGGUACGAAAGCGUGGGGAGCAAACAGGAUUAGAUACCCGCGUAGUC
RNAcentral lists this ribosomal RNA (464 nucleotides) under uncultured bacterium. RNAcentral describes it as "partial 16S ribosomal RNA". It matches the Rfam family "Bacterial small subunit ribosomal RNA", at positions 339 to 795 of the family's 1533-position model. The record is from RNAcentral.